GGGGGGGGGGGGGGGGGGGGGGGGGGGGGGGGGGGCGGGGGGAGGGGCCCCUUGGGGGGGGCUCGAGGGGCGAACGGGUGAGUAGCACGUGAGUAACCUGCCCUUGGCUUCGGGAUAACUUCAGGAAACUGGGGCUAAUACCGGAUAGGAAUCCUUGCUGCAUGGUGGGGGUUGGAAAGCUUCGGCGGUUUUGGAUGGACUCGCGGCUGAUCAGCUGGUUGGUGGGGUAGUGGCUUACCAAGGCUUUGACGGGUAGCCGGCCUGAGAGGGCGACCGGCCACAUUGGGACUGAGAUGCGGCCCAGACUCCUACGGGAGGCAGCAGUGGGGAAUAUUGCACAAUGGGCGGAAGCCUGAUGCAGCAACGCCGCGUGCGGGAUGACGGCCUUCGGGUUGUAAACCGCUUUCAGCAGGGGCGAAGCUUGUGGUGACGGUACCUGCAGAAGAAGCACCGGCUAACUACGUG
Molecule: ribosomal RNA, 465 nt
Filed under: uncultured bacterium
Lineage: Bacteria
Description: partial 16S ribosomal RNA
Rfam family: Bacterial small subunit ribosomal RNA
Source: RNAcentral